GUUCCCAUAACCUGCAUACUUCUCCUAAAGCGGGAAGAGCCGAGCAGAUACCCACAUAUUCUUUGUAAUAAGACACUUUCACCCAAGCAACCCACAGAUGAGGAACAUCACAAGCAAUUUAUCAUCCGAGAGCAACAAAGCCAACAGCGCUGCAAGGACAAGCUUCAGGAAAUCACUCUAGGGGACUGAAGAAUCAGCCGUAUGUCUGCAGAUCAAACUCACAACUCUCAUGUUGUUUUCAGUCAUCUUUAGGGAUGUAAAUCUAAGGCUAGUGCUUCUAUACACUUCGUGUCAACCUGAUGUUGAGUGCAUGUUUCUCUUGCAUCUGCUGUUGAAGCAUCGGCCCCGAGGGGCUCCUGAGGGCCUCAGUGUGGUCAGAGCUGCUCAUCACAGUUUCUCUAACGGCUCUCUGUUUGCUCUCUCUGCUCUGAAUUCAAAUGAACGAGCGUUACGAUGUUAUGCUGCGGGGAGCGGCUGUUACAGGGAGCUGUGUUAAUUACUCACUUAAUUAGUCGGACUAACACACAUGAGCUGAACCAAG
Molecule: long non-coding RNA, 541 nt
Organism: Cyprinus carpio carpio
Lineage: Eukaryota; Metazoa; Chordata; Actinopteri; Cypriniformes; Cyprinidae
Source: Ensembl